This 567-nucleotide long non-coding RNA is filed under the name Suricata suricatta (meerkat). Its description in RNAcentral is "lncRNA (ENSSSUG00005019323.1)". The record is from RNAcentral. Lineage: Eukaryota; Metazoa; Chordata; Mammalia; Carnivora; Herpestidae.
CUCCCUCCUUCCCAGUGGGAAUUAUUCUAUAUGUAGUUGUAGAUUUGGUGUGUCUGUCGGAGGAAGUAAGUUCAGAGGCUUUUUAUACCACCAUCUUGGACCACUCUUUUUGUAAUAUAUCGUAAGGAAUCUGAAGAUUUUUUUCACCUUGAGCAAUUUGAGUAAAUGUGAUUUUGUGAGGGUUUUUGGCAGGGGGGGUUUGCAAUGGUCUCAAGGAUAAUCUGACUUUCUCAUUUACCCUCUUACAAUAAAAUUACAGGCAUUUCGAGAGAUGAGAUAGGCGGGCCGCUCAGAAACAUUAUCCCAUCCAUCAGGAAGAGAACCCAAAUUAAGGAUUCCAAAGAUUCCAAAAAGGCAACAGUAUGGAAAAGGAGUCUGUGCUACAGAGGUGAUCUGAAUCCAGGAAAAAAUGGAAGAUGUCUAUAAUAAAAAAACUAGCAAUUUUAUGGCAGCAUUUGAAAAUUUUACCCUUUACAAGAUGAACAUGAAAAGCCACCUCCAAGCUUUGAUCCAUUAAUGUCUCAUGAAGCUACAGUCUUUGGAGUAAGAUAUUCAUGUUACAUCCAC